Molecule: ribosomal RNA, 364 nt
Filed under: Trinemura sp. WAM-ZYGS003
Lineage: Eukaryota; Metazoa; Arthropoda; Insecta; Zygentoma; Nicoletiidae
Description: Trinemura sp. WAM ZYGS003 partial small subunit ribosomal RNA
Source: RNAcentral
CCCUAUUAUUAGUAGUGUGAAGGGAUAGACUUAGGUAUUAAUUGGUGUUCAUGAAACCUAGAGAAUUUGGCGGUGCUUUAGUCUUUUUAGAGGAACCUGUCCUAUAAUCGAUAGUCCACGUUGUUAUUACCCAAUUUGGUUAUUAGUUUGUAUAUCGCCGUCAGAAGGGAAUUUUUUGAGGAUGAAUAAUUCUUUUAAUAUUGAGGGAUAGGAUGACAGGUCAAGGUGCAGCUGAUGAAUGGGGAGGAGAUGGGUUACAAUGCAUAAUAUGUAUAUGGAUUCUUACGUGGAGUGGGAUGAAGGUGGAUUUAAGAGUAAUUUUCAUGAACUGAGGGUGAAGGUGGCUCUAAGGCGUGCACAUAUC